ACGGGUGAGUAAUACAUCGGAACGUAUCCUGGAGUGGGGGAUAGCCCGGCGAAAGCCGGAUUAAUACCGCAUACGCUCUGAGGAGGAAAGCGGGGGACCUUCGGGCCUCGCGCUCAAGGGGCGGCCGAUGGCGGAUUAGGUAGUUGGUGGGGUAAAGGCCUACCAAGCCGACGAUCCGUAGCUGGUCUGAGAGGACGACCAGCCACACUGGGACUGAGACACGGCCCAGACUCCUACGGGAGGCAGCAGUGGGGAAUUUUGGACAAUGGGGGCAACCCUGAUCCAGCAAUGCCGCGUGUGUGAAGAAGGCCUUCGGGUUGUAAAGCACUUUUGUCAGGAAAGAAAUCAUCGGGGCCAAUACCCCUGGUGGAUGACGGUACCGGAAGAAUAAGCACCGGCUAACUACGUGCCAGCAGCCGCGGUAAUACGUAGGGUGCGAGCGUUAAUCGGAAUUACUGGGCGUAAAGCGUGCGCAGGCGGUGCUGUAAGACCGAUGUGAAAUCCCCGGGCUUAACCUGGGAACUGCAUUGGUGACUGCAGCGCUGGAGUAUGGCAGAGGGGGGUGGAAUUCCACGU
RNAcentral lists this ribosomal RNA (576 nucleotides) under uncultured bacterium. Its description in RNAcentral is "bacterial SSU rRNA". It matches the Rfam family "Bacterial small subunit ribosomal RNA", at positions 102 to 674 of the family's 1533-position model. The record is from RNAcentral.